UGUGCCAACCCCUCACCACUCUUUCUGAGAAGAGAUUUUUCCUAAUAUCCAACCUGAAUCUCUCCUGGAGCAGCCUGAAGCCAUUACCAUAACUGUUACUUCAACCUGUUCCUUGAGAGAGAGUACAUAGUCUCUCAUCCCAGUAGGGCACAACCGUGUCAAUUUCUCCCUAAGUUCUGAAUGGACAUGGGUCUUUUUCUUCCUGCCCCCAUGCUAGUUUUCAAGUCUUGUCUGAAAUGUAUGGUUCUUUUCACAGGAGUUUUUCCUGUAGACCUCAAUUUAUAUAAAUGAAGUAAUGAUGGCUCCAUGCAGGGAAGAUAAUCAAUGUCACUUUUCAGAUUAACAGUGAGAAAGACACGUCUGCAAAGAGCAAGUCUCAAAGGCUCUUUUUUCCCUCCCUGAGUGGGUGUCUGAUUAGAGCAGCUUAUCCCAUAUUAAGGCUGACACAGGACCAAAGAAUUUGCAUGUAGCUCAGGGUUCCCGGGUUGUGCAAGCCGCCCAAACAUGACAUCCCCUUUGAAGUCAUUAGAAGUUCUGCACCCAGCUGCGCUGGUUAUGGGAUGGAAUCACAUAUGAGGUUUGGCACAUGUCAGGAAAAAUGCUCUCACAGAGGCCUCAUAAAGCUGAAGUCUGUUUGCUGCAUCGCUGUUGAAAGGUCCGGGCCAUGUGCUGCGAGUUGAAUGGAAGAUGUUUGUUAUCUCCACAAAGUACCUGACAAGGUCGCUGUGUGUUCAGAAGGUCGUGCUGCUCAGCCCAUUCACAUCCACUUGAGAACAGAUACAUCCUCUGUCGGUUAAUUUUGGUGAGCUCUGAGGGUGCAGGCUACCCACACAACUUGCAAUCCUGCAUGAAUCUGAUUGGUUUUGACAUUCAUACUUCCUCUCUAGAUUAAGGUUUUGCAGCUCUGACCUACAUUCAUUGAGACAGCAGCUAUAGCUCUUAAUCAUCACAUAUUUGUUACUACUCCCCUGCCAGUCGCUUUCAACCCUGCAGCUAAGCAGAGCAGAGCUGCCAGACCUCGUGUACCUUGCUACAUGGCCAAUUUCAUCCUGGCUUCAAGCUAGGGCAUCAGACAGUGAUGUGGGAAGACCAGGGAGCCAGCAUCUGGGACUGCACUGCAGGUAUCAAAGAGGAAAGGGUGGCCGGACAGUAACCUCCUUCUCAGCCAUUUCCAGGGGUGUAUACUGCAUGGUCUGUGAGAAAGUAUUUCCUUUUUUCUGUGUGCGUUUCCCAUCUUUCAAUUUGCUGAAUAUUCCUUUCUUGUUUGGCAAAGAAGGAAAACGAGAAGCCCCCAAUCUCUCUUCCCCGCAUCAUUCCUCAUUGCCCACUCUCGUUUUCAGGAUCUCUCCUACUUUUCUGCUUUGAAGGGCAUAAAGUCUUGCUCCUUCAAUUCUGUCUUUGGCUGAGAAGAUUUCAUAUUUGUUAUGUUUAAGAACUUCCCCAAGCCCUUGUGAUGAUACCCUUUGUGAAAUCUGUCGACCAGUGAAUACACAGCAUUAUUCCUGUGUCUGCCUAAGGCUUGGUUGUUUGAAAUGUCUUAGAGUCUGUUCUUUUUCCAUCUUUCAGCCCACUCUUUAAACUUCCUAAUGUCUUGUCAACGUUUUUGAUUGCCUGUUGAGCUCUGCGUUGCCACCUGGGUCACUUUAUGAAACUGAGACAGUUAAUUUAGAGCCCUUAAGGUGCUUGAGAUGCUCUCAUUACGCCUCCAGCCUGGAUUACUUUACAUUUACUGACACCGAAUUUAAUUUCUGUUCAUCUAACUAGUUCAUGUCUCCAAAGAUAAUAGCAAAGAAUUCCGAGAGGGCACUUUACCAGGAGAAGCAUGGCUUUAUGUUCAUUACCAACCAGCCUGUGUAAUGAGGAAGAUGUCCUACGGAAAAGAAAAGUGCAAGCAGACUUCACUCAGAUGGCGUGCCGAGGUGAGAAGAGGGGACCUUCUGUUUUAGACGCUCAGAUUUCAUAUGCAAGCAAUAUAAUAAGGCAGUGCCCUUUGUGGCCAAAGGCGAUGUCACCAGGGUUAAUGAGGGAUGACUUCCAUUUGCAGGACUGGUGCUGAUGAACUGUCUGAGCACCCCGUCCCAACCUGACAGAUAUUUGUAAUGAAAUGCAUCAGACCGUAGUGCUGGCUUCCAUUUCCCAAUGUCUGUAAUACUGAGUCAAGCAAGAAAUGAAGGAUUUGUCCUAACCACAUAGAGAAAAUUUUUGUGUAGGAAUAAUCCUGGUGAAGGAUAUUCAUGCAGCACACGGAUCCAAAUUUUCACAUGGAUUUAUUAAGAAAGCUUUUCCUGGAACCAAAAAAAAAAAAGAGUCAGACAGACACUUUGGGCAUAAACACGUCUUUCCGGCAAUCUCAAGUGGUUCGCUCUCAGCUCGGAGAACACCCACUCCUCCCUGCUGUCUGGAGCAGAGAGGCCACGGGGGUGUUUCGUGCACUUUAGCGACUGUCUGCAGGGCUACAGCCCGCCGUGCACAGCCCAAGAGAUGUUCACCUUCUCACAUAUUAACUAACUGUUCCAGAAAGCAUCCAAAUAAUCAGCAAAAUGACAACUGUGCAUCCUUUUGUGAUCUGCUUUGCGGCAUUACGUUGUCAUCAAGGCGCCAUUAAAGCAGUGGCAUUUGGGAUGUGAGUGUGUCCAGGUUCGCAGCGAUCUUGCUCACUACAACCCUUCCACUUCCUCCAAUCAUUUGGAAACCUGGGGAGGAAAUGUGCAGCUCCCAGCUCCCUCCUUUGCUGGGCACCUCUCUCUGAGCAUCCCCAGCAUCGCUGAUGCUCUCAGGCCAACAGAGAGGCCACCCCGCGCUGCUGGACCUCCUGCCCUGCCCCACAGCGAAGCUAUUUUAGAGCCUGCCAAAUUCAGCAGUGUUGAUGCAUUCCUCAUCCCUCUCCCUGUAAUAUCUAGUUGCCGUAGUUACCUCAUGUAUCUAAGGCAACCAGAUGUUGCAGGCGAAGGUACUGAAAUAGCAUCAACAAGUGCGAGAAUGACAAGUGCUAUAACUCGCUGCCCGGAGCUAAGCUGUCCAGGGCCGGUUCCCUCCUAGGAAGGGGUCUCUAAAGAGCUGUGAGGGGAUUUUGGGAGCACGUGGCCAUCCUUAUCGAUUUUUGCAGGAAAAACAAAAUAAAUUAAGAAAAAAAAUCUAAGCUGGAGAAGGAGUAGCUAAGGCACGUUUUGUUUAAAUAAGCUGCGGAGGAAGAGGAAGGGUGGAAAGGUCCCAAACUAAGCACGGCUGCGUUAUGAGGAAAAUUACAGUGGAUCUGGUAAAGUGCUGCCAUAUUGCAGCACAAGCAUCAUGCUGCAGCUGCUUUCCUGCACCUCCCUCCCUCCUACAAAGGCUCCGACUCCAUGCGAGGGCCCAGGGAGAGCUCCGAGCAAUUAAUUCAGGUGGUAGGAGCACCCUCCCUCCCAAGGCUGUCAAAGCACAACUCAGGAACAACAGCCUUCCAGGGAACCUUUCUCUCCACCGAGGGAAGCAGGUGCUUAGUGUUACAUUAAUUUUAAACCCCUAAUUAGUGUAACUUGAAUCCUGGCCCAGUUCCAGGUUAAUUCAUUGUAUUCUUCCAAACAGAGCUCCCCGCUGGCUCUAUUUGCAUGCAGCAGGCUAGAUGCCCACCCACCAACACCUUUCCUUUGCUCUGCAUGUAGGGAAUGGAGUGGCAUAGAGCUGCCAUGGAGUUGGGGAUGUCACAGCCAGCUCCUUUGCCAUGAAUGUAGCAACAGCAGCAAAAGUGCCUGGGAAGCCUUCAGUGCUGUUGGAAGAUGUUAAGUAUGAGGAGUGGCCGAGGUCCCUGCAUUUGUUCAGCCCAGAGCAGAAGCUGAGGGGAAGCCUCAUGGCGGCUGCAGCUCCUCACAGGGAGCAGAGGGGCAGUGGCAAUAGGAUCUGAGAAGUUGUGGACGCCCCGUCCUUGGAGGCAUUCAAGACCAGGCUGGAUAUGGCAGCCUGGUCUAGUGGCUGGCAACAGCAGGGAGGUUGAAACUAGAUGAUCUUUGAGGCCCUUUUCAACCCAGGCCGUUCUAUGGCUCUAUGAAUGGCACGGGGCUGCAUCAGAGGAGGGUCAGGUGGGGGUUAGGAAAAGAUUCUUCACCAGAGGGCGGUGGGCAUGGAGCAGGCUGCCCUGGGCAGUGGGCACGGCCCCAAGUGCCAGAGUUCAAAGUGUGAUGGACACAGGACCACCCAAAAUACAAACCCUGUGUGGAGCUGGGAGCUGGACUCGGGAACUGGACUCAGUGACCCUCGUGGGACCUUUCCAACUUGGGAUAUUCUGUGAUUCUGUGAAGUGCAUUGGCCAGAGGUGGGAUGGGGCUGCAUGUGAACUAUGCCUUGGCCUGCUGCUGGCCACCACAGAGCUUUGGUGGUUGUUGGUCACCAGCACCGCGAGGGCCAAGGAUGUUUCGUGUCUUGUGAAUGGGGGGCCUGGCUGUGGGAUCUGGGGGGGGAUUGGAGAAGGACCUGGGCCUUUGUGGCCGCUGUGGCACCAGCUGGCAGCGCAGCUGCACACCGGUAUCAUAGAACCAUCUAGGCUGGAAAAGACCUGCAGGAUCCUUGAGUCCAACCAUCUGCCUGGCCUACAGAGUCCCAUCACUAAGCCAUGACUUUUGACAUGUAUGUCAUACCUGCUGCUGGCUCUGCAGAAUUUUAGCUGAGUAAGAGCUGCUGGGUCACCAAAUGUGCCAGGGCAGGGAGCAGUACAGGAGGAAUGAGGAAAAGGACUUUUGGCAUGUUUCAGCCAGGAUUUCAACUUGGCUGAGUUCUCAAGUGAUCAGAGACAUAAAAAUGUCAUUGUGCAGAGCUGGCUCCAGUGGUCGUCACGCCUCAAGUUGCGAGGUGAAGGUGAGGGGAGAGGAGGGCAUCAGGGGCACUGGGGAGGCGCUGGCACGGUCUGCAAAAUGUGAGAAGUAUGAUCACUUCUUGGGUGUUUACUGGACUGGACAGGAUGCACUUAAGACCUGUGUGAGCAAUUAAUGCUGAUUAGCAGUUCCCUCUGCUGGCUGAGCUAAUGAAGUUAUGGCUUCUGUCCUACAGAAGUAUUUCUGCUGCUGGAAGGUGCAGUUAAGCUGAGUGGCGUGGUAUCUCUGCACAUAAACUAAUGAGGACAGCCACAGAAAACAGUGCUGGGGGAUCUGUGCGGCAAACAAUAAAAGCAUAGCUCACUCUUCUGCCAUCAAAAUCCUUUCGGGUAAUAAAAAGAGCAGAGCAGCCAGGCCUGCUUGCUCUAGGAGUGAUCCUGACAUAUGUUUCCCCAGAUAAUUCAGAGCCACUGCUGAUGAUAAUUUGUGUUAGUUUGGUUGCUGCAUCAUCUCACAGGUUCGCGUGUGCGUACAGGCGCUGUUUGUGUGGGACUUGGAGCAAGGGUAGGAAUCUGCCCAUUGUUUAAUUUUUUAUAAAAUGUUACUUUAAGAGGCUGUGCAAUUUUUUUUUAAUGGGGCAAAAUACUUUUCCCUCCCCUUUUCUUCCUUUAAGAAAGGAAAAGACAGACCAUUAAUGAGUCUUCUGCAUCUCUCACAUGAGAUGGAGAUGUGGUGACUUACAUAAAACAAGUCAUGAGCCAAUUGUUAUGAAACUCCAAAGUCUUAAAUCACCGUGAAAUAGGAAAUAGAGGAAGCCCAUUUCAGGUCAGGUAGCUGGUAUCCGAGCUGCUUCCUUCUGUCCAAGCACCUCUCCAUGAUGCGGCUCUGCAGGAAAUGAGAGCUCACUGAGAAUCCGCUGUCUGCUCACAGACCUGAAAUCACCAGCUGGAGUCACAGCUCGCACAGUGAUCCUAGGAAAACAGCAUUACAGACAAAUGUGCUUUUCUUUCAUUCUAUGGAUUUAUGCAUUUGUUUGUUUUGAAUGUGACUCACUGAUUUUCUGUGCGCUUCUGGAUAUCUCUGUCUACUUCUUCUUCCUGUGGAGCAGGGCCAAUGCCAGCCCACCUGUGCCACAAGGCUGUACAAACAGACACAAGGAGGGUGUGAAACUAGGUGAUUGUUUUCACAUUUAGGGAAACUGGCUUGAAUCCUGUGUCUCCAGCUGCCGAAUGCUUUCCGCUAUGAGAUUCUUGUGGGUUUUUGUGAAGAGCUCUCACACCUUCUGCCUCUUGGCCACUCAGCGAGGAGGAGGGCUGGAUGCUGGACAGCCACUUCCAGCCCUGCCAGAGAAACCUGCUCCUGUCUGGCCAAAGCUGUAAAGGGUUUGAAGUACGGACUUGAACUCCUCGGGAAAACUUCUGCUAUACCCAAAGCAACAGCUGAACACAAGCAUCCCAUGCCCAGACCGGGCUUACUGUGAGAACAACUGGAUGCAGCCAGGGAAAGAAAGCGGCCCAGAGAGCGGCUGCGGUGGGAGGCGAGGACGGCCAAGCUAAACAAUGUCCGUCUGCUUCCACAUCCUCCUCCUCCUCCUCCUCAGGAACACGAUGGGGAGCAGCCGCCCUCCCACGUGAGCUGGGGUCAGGAUGCCCCGCUCAGCUCCCCGCUAUCCGGGGGCCAGAAACCCCUGCUAUGCCAGGCUCUGCCGACAUCGAGCCUCUGGGCUUCAGCUCACCCCUGUGCUGCUCGAGUGCUCCUGGCUGGGUGCGCUCUCGCUUUCUUACUUGAACCGUGGGAAUUUGCAUACAGAAAGCCCCGUUAGCCCUGAUCAAGUGACACUGACGUUGUGGUGUUAAGCGGCCAGAAGCAGAGGCAGUCAAGUCGUGAACUGAAUGCAUUUCCCUUCUAAAACCGAAACAAUUGGUGGUGUCACAGGAAUUUCUUAGUAACAUGUUCAUAAUAAUUGUAUAGUGUUUCUUGCUGGGCUUUCACCCAUACAUUAAAAUUGAAUUUCCGUGAUGGCAGGAAGCUUAGUGAAAGUAAAAUGCCAUGCCUUUAGAAAUAUGUAUUUCUACAUAAGGUACUGAACGUUAUUUACAGAUGCAUUAAUUCACCAUCACUGUUUGAAAUUCAUUUGAUUUAAGGUACUAUAAUUAUAUUAGCUAUUAGAUAAUAAUUUUAAUAGAUCUGCAAAAGAGCCCUCAUUCCCUGCAUGGUCCAAACUACCAGCUCCUCAAUAAAGACUGGGUUGUUGCUUGCUAAUGACCCCCAAAUAGUUCCCAAUUUGGUGAAGCCCAAUCAGCACUUAUCUUGCUUAUUGCUUUAUGCUCUGGGCUACUCGAGCCGCUAACACCACUGUUUUAACUGGGUUCGGAAGUUUCAUUACAGCAGACGGAGAAGUGAGAAACUGGGGAAAUCCCAAGUAGAAAUACAUUCAUGACAAGUGUUGCUUUCGUGCACGCACACACAUCGAUCUCAGUCAGAUGGGGAAUUCAGAGGUCCCAGUGUGAAAGCUCAGAAGUGUCGCUUUGCAAACGUGGCAGCUCUCAUACAUGGGCCCCCCCGCUCCCGGCAUCAAAAUGAAAAGUGCCACGCUGCAAAUAUGGUGCACUGUGGUGUGCGGCACUGAGCCAUUUCAGCCACCGAGUCCGUGGGUUGUUUCUUUGGUGGGGCAUGGGAUGGCUACAUGCAGAUACGUGAAAUCUAGUCUAAAAGAAGCAAUUUAGAGCUCUCAAUAACCAAUACUGGAAUCAAUUGCUCCUUGGGAUUUGCCGCUGAAUUAACUCCUAUGCUGUAAGCAGGAUUUUCAAAUCUUUGGGAUGGGAGGAAGCUCACUCUGAGAUGCUCACAGUCAGAAAAUAUCCAAAUAUACACAGAGAGAGACUAGGAGGAAAACCAAACAGAGAAUAGGGAUAGGGAUAAAUAGGGAUAAAGGGAUUCACCAGCAGCAGCAAGGAGGAGGUGAGCUGCAGGAUAAGGGUCUUGUGGAUGCUUUGGGAUGUUCUGUCCCAUGCUGGGGACCUGUAUGGAUGAGCGUGUGGAGGUGGCUGCGCUAGCAGUCUGAUGGAAGAGCACUUGGGUCUGGAAAUGGCAACAGAAAAUGAGAGCGAGGGGAGCAGGAGGUGCUUGGCUAAGGAAGGUGAGGCGGGAAGGCCCAGGCAGGCCGAGGGAAGAGGAGGAGGCUUUGUGGGACGCGAAGGUGUGGUGAGAAACUUGCGUCGUGUUUCAGAAAACAACACGCGCUGUCCACAAACCUGAAUGAGAACAAAUUCUGAAGAUCAUUUAAAAAAUAAAACAGAAUCUUCGAGAGCAAAGCUGUACUUAAUUUGGUUAUAAUCCUUUGAAUUGAGGUAUAUUUCAACUCGACUGAAGACUCCUGAGCACCAUUCAGAGAGGAAACCCGAUCACUUUUGGCAGAGGGAAGAAGGAUUGCCUGUUAGAAGUAAAUUCUCUCAGCUGGCACGUUUAUCACCGGAGAUCAAUGCAAACCAGAGGAUAAAUAAAAGCAGAUUUUGAAAAUGAGCAGGCAGACGUUCAGGCACCGAAAAUCUUUUUAUUUAGUUAUUUUUUUAUUUUUUGGAGAGGAGAGGAAGAGGUUCCUUUUGUUUUUCUGCCUUGAAGAAAAUUAAAUUGAAAUGCAUUUUAUUGGCAGGUCGGUAUCGUGUUUGCAGUCCUGAUAAAUCAGUGGACAGCACAGCAGAGGUCUUGCACUCGCUGCCCUGCCAGACCUAUUAGUUUGCCUCGCUCAAUGCAGACACUCAAGCAGAGCCUGUCUUCCAAGGCGGGGCACAAUGUUUGCUUUAACAGGAAGCACGUGGUCCAGUUCUUAACUUCAUCGCAGGACUUGGACGGGACUAAAACUGCCAAACAGCGCAGUGAUGACUUUAUAAAAGAAAUUGUAUUUUCCCAGGAGACUUGGUAUUUCUAAGGAAAGGAGAGUAAAAAGCAUGUUUGUUUUUAAUUUGGUUUUAAGCCAUCUCCUGUGCUCAUGCUCAGAGCCACACCCUCCCUGUCCCCACUAAAAUGGCCGGCCCCUCAAGCUGGCAUCCCCAUAGAUGCUGCCGUCUCCCCUUUCUCAAAAAGCUAAUGAAAUCAACGCCACCAGGUUUUCUGCAAUGCUACUUUCCUUACUGGAGACAGGCGUGAGGCUGUUUUCUUAAUGUCUCUCACUGGCCACCUCAAAGCACCCUGCAUUUUUAUGACGCUGAUAAAAAGAAAUGACAAGGGCUGAGCCACCAGGACACUGAGAUCAGGACAUCUCGCACUGAUGGAUAUCUCCUCAUCGCCUCCGUGCAUUUCCCCACUGACUGACUGCUGUGCCCAGCCUCACGCCCGUGCUGCACACACGCCGCCCUUUUGUUCUGUGUUUGUGCCGAGUAUAAUGGAACCCACAUCCUUGCCUGAGAUCUCAAAGACUUUCUGUAAUUAAACACUUGAGGCAACAAGGUGAGACUGAAAGACAUGUAAUUGCCAGAGAUUUUCUUCUUGUAAUUCUUGAAAAGUGGGACAACGUUUACUGGCUUCCAGUUGACUGGAACCUCUCCAGAUAAUGGACAAUAAUCAGAGGGCCAUACCACGAUAAGACGGUCACGGUACGGAGGACAGUCUGACUAAUCAUACACGACCCUUCCAACGUGGAUGGACCUUUAUUCACAUGAUUGUUUGCUCAUCUAUCGAGUUCCACAUCCUUGUACCUUGUAUAAAGACACCUUGGAGGGUGAGGUAGGUAUGGAGGGGACUUUCCUGCUGCCCCAGGCAGAAAUCUGCUUCCGUUCCCUUCUGUCUCUUAGGUCCCCUCCUGUCUGGCAGCAGAGGGUAAGGGAUCCUUUGUUUCUUGUGUUGUGAACAGCUGACACAUCUGUCUCAGGGAUGGUAGAGCACAAUCCCACCAGCUGAUCCAUUCCAACUCCCUGCUGCCCCUCAGCCUGCCUACCUCCUCCCUGGAGCUCUCUCUCCAGGCUGAGCAGUUCUCCCUGGGCACACCUCCCACAGGUGUGCUUGCUGCUGACAACAGACACCAGUAGGCAGCAGGGCACACCCUGCAGCCCAAGACCAGGGUGGGUUGGUUUCUGCAGUUGGAGAGGCCACAGGGGACACAGAGGGCAUGGCUUUCUGCCAGAGGCCCUGAUCAAUGCCUUGGCCACUGCACAAAUACAGAGGAAGGCUCAGUCGUGGACAGGGUUGCUCUUAAGUUACACUGAGGCUGAAACUGGAAGGACCGGGAUAUCUGGCACAACUCACAGCAAGAAAACAUCUUCUGGGCUAAGAGAAGAUUUGUUAAAGGAACGCCUUUCAAAGACCAUCAGAAGGCAUCUCAUUGGUAUGUAAUGGAGCCACUCUUCAUUUUAGAAAAGAAACACAGCUGGCCUCAAAAUUGGACACCACUGCCAAAAAACCAAACCACCCGACUGGAAGAGGAAAAGCAGAAGUUUGUGGUACUCUAGGGAUUAAGGCUGAAUACCGUCUGCGUUGAGGACAGUACUGGGGAUGCACCCAUCAUUUUUUGUACAACAGUUUCCCACUUCAGGUUUGCUCAACUUUCCGAUUUUGGUACUAAACGCCAAAUUCAACGCACUGGCCUCUCAAAGAUCUCUGAAGUGGGGCUAUUUGUUUCAGAAGGACCAGGAAUUUAUUUAGAUUCCGUUUCCCUUAGGAGGUAUCAACUCUAUUUUUUAUUGAUCUACUUUUUAUUUUUUUACCAGAAUGAUUUUUGUGGUGCUUUUCCUCAAAUAUCCCAGAUUGUAAGCCAUCCCACUUAUGUGCUAUAAAGUCCUAAUAAAUAUAUAUCAGACUUAAAAAGCUUACACAAGUGUCAUUAUUUCAGUGCAACCUACUCAUUCUUCAGAAUUAGAAAAUGAGAAACAUCUCCAGUAUGAAACAUCUACCCAAGAUAUUUCCAGUUCUUUGUUCUAUUUUCAAGAGGAUCGCCAAAUGGAGAAGUCCCGCGUUAGCAGCAUGGAUUUACACCUGAGCUGAAUACUGGACGUCCACAAAGAGCAAACAUUAAAGCCUUCAAGGACUGAUAAUUUGAACUAUGAGCUCCUCAACAUAAAUAUAGGCAUUGCAGGAGACAGCAUGGGGAAAAUGAGGGUUUUUUCUUUGGAUUUAUGUAUUUUCACAACCUACUUUAACUGAAUGGCAGUGUGUAACGUCUGGUCUGGAAAGCAUUCUUGCAUUAUUUUCAGGUUAAUGUAAGCUGUGGAUUCAAACAGCAGUGGUGCACCGAGGUCAGCUGAAGCUUGAGCAUUUUUUUAACAGCAACAGUGUGUGCCCUGAGCCAGUCAAAGCGUGCAGUGCUGGAGUCAAAUGAGCAGUAGCACUGACUACCCAACACCUCAAGUAAUACUGUACAGCUGAGGAGCUCUUUUUUUUUUUUUUUCUUGCUAGACCUCAUCUCAUCCAUAGGCUUGUAAUGGCAACUCCCAGCCUGGAGGAAGACCUCUCAUCGUGCAGCCCAGCUUGCUGGCUAAAACCUGCAAAGUCCCAGAGUUGAGAAAUCAGCUCUGGCAGUUGCAGCAGCUGUUCCUCUCUUGAGGCCUUGCAUAGUACGUAAGCCACACAUGGCAGGAGAGGGGUUUCCCCGGCUGUAGCUAAGAUGCUUAGGCUGUGGAGAAUGCCAUGCUCUGAGCACUGACAGCGACUAUUUUGCACAGUGAUGGUGAGAGCUAUGUGUCUAAUUUGGGCAGCACAGAUGGGACUCUUAAGACAGCAAGAGACUGGCACUACCAGCAGAGGGAAGGGAUAAUGUGUUCCUUCUGCAGCAGAGAUUUCACAAGUGACUCAUGACUCUUCUGCAGCUCAUGCUGGCAUCACUUGGUCUUUCUAACCGUGACUGCACAUUUUAAAGGUCAGGAUGUAAUGCUUCUUUUCCAAGAACCUUUGAGUCCAUAUUGGUGAGGGUUUUGUUCCGAAGGUCAUUCGGUGCACACAGUAGUUCCUUAUGAUCUAACCAGGAGCUUGUUCUUCUCCUGCUGGCACAAGUAUAGAGGUGAUGAAAUAAUCUAGCCAAUAAAUCUCUCAGGGUAGUUUGAUUCUUGGGUCCUCAAUGCACACAUAAUUAUCAUGUUCAUGACUAACAUCAAGCGGGCCUCGUGCUUGGGCUCUGGCGUGUCUGAGCCACACCUACAUUCCUCUUGCAGGCCCUCAUUUAAGAGCAGAUUUCAAUUAACUAUGAUCAGAUGUUUAAGGUGGCCUAGGUCUUUUAUUUUGUGUGUAGGUGUUUAAAUUUCACUGCUUUACACUUAAGGAUGUAGUUCACUGCAAACUAGAACAGAGGCUGAUUCGGGCAUGUGCUCGAAUGGUCUCAAAUAGGACUUCCCAUGACAGCAAAACCGCAGCGCUGGCUGAACUGUGCAUGCAGAUUGUCCACGUGCAUUGUGAAAGCUUACAGCAAUGGUUCUACUGUGAUUUUCCACAUUCACUGGCAUUUCACCACUGUCCUCUGCAAAAUUUGAUAGCCCAAAGCUGAAUGCUUAUAGAAAUUGCAUUUGUUCUCCCCAGAAUGAAU
Molecule: long non-coding RNA, 12291 nt
Organism: Numida meleagris (helmeted guineafowl)
Lineage: Eukaryota; Metazoa; Chordata; Aves; Galliformes; Numididae
Exons: 6
Source: RefSeq, a predicted model, not a curated record